RNAcentral lists this ribosomal RNA (433 nucleotides) under uncultured bacterium. RNAcentral's name for it is "partial 16S ribosomal RNA". It matches the Rfam family "Bacterial small subunit ribosomal RNA", at positions 29 to 507 of the family's 1533-position model. The record is from RNAcentral.
AACGAACGCUGGCGGCAUGCCUAACACAUGCAAGUCGAACGAGACCUUCGGGUCUAGUGGCGCACGGGUGCGUAACGCGAGGGAACCUGCCCUUAGGUUCGGAACAACUCCCCGAAAGGGGUGCUAAUACCGGAUAACGUCUUCGGACCAAAGUUUUAUCGCCUUUGGAUGUGCCCGCGUUGGAUUAGCUAGUUGGUAGGGUAAAAGCCUACCAAGGCGACGAUCCAUAGCUGGUCUGAGAGGAUGAUCAGCCACACUGGGACUGAGACACGGCCCAGACUCCUACGGGAGGCAGCAGUGGGGAAUAUUGGACAAUGGGCGAGAGCCUGAUCCAGCAAUGCCGCGUGAGUGAUGAAGGCCUUAGGGUUGUAGAGCUCUUUUACCCGGGAUGAUAAUGACAGUACCGGGAGAAUAAGCUCCGGCUAACUCCGUG